Molecule: ribosomal RNA, 506 nt
Filed under: uncultured bacterium
Lineage: Bacteria
Description: partial 16S ribosomal RNA
Rfam family: Bacterial small subunit ribosomal RNA
Source: RNAcentral
AGUGAACGCUGGCGGUAGGCCUAACACAUGCAAGUCGAACGGCAGCACAGGAGAGCUUGCUCUCUGGGUGGCGAGUGGCGGACGGGUGAGGAAUACAUCGGAAUCUACUCUGUCGUGGGGGAUAACGUAGGGAAACUUACGCUAAUACCGCAUACGACCUACGGGUGAAAGCAGGGGACCUUCGGGCCUUGCGCGAUUGAAUGAGCCGAUGUCGGAUUAGCUAGUUGGCGGGGUAAAGGCCCACCAAGGCGACGAUCCGUAGCUGGUCUGAGAGGAGUAUCAGGCACACGGGAACUGAGACACGGUCCAGACUCCUACGGGAGGCAGCAGUGGGGAAUAUUGGACAAUGGGCGCAAGCCUGAUCCAGCCAUACCGCGUGGGUGAAGAAGGCCUUCGGGUUGUAAAGCCCUUUUGUUGGGAAAGAAAUCCAGCUGGCUAAUACCCGGUUGGGAUGACGGUACCCAAAGAAUAAGCACCGGCUAACUUCGUGCCAGCCGCCGCAGUAA